GAUGAACGCUGGCGGCGUGCCUAAUACAUGCAAGUCGAGCGAAUGGAUUAAGAGCUUGCUCUUAUGAAGUUAGCGGCGGACGGGUGAGUAACACGUGAGUAACCUGCCCAUAAGACUGGGAUAACUCCGGGAAACCGGGGCUAAUACCGGAUAACAUUUUGAACCGCAUGGAUCGAAAUUGAAAGGCGGCUUCGGCUGGCACUUAGGGAUGGACCCGCGUCGCAUUAGCUGGUUGGUGAGGUAAGGGCUCACCAAGGCAACGAUGCGUAGCCGACCUGAGAGGGUGAUCGGCCACACUGGGACUGAGACACGGCCCAGACUCCUACGGGAGGCAGCAGUAGGGAAUCUUCCGCAAUGGACGAAAGUCUGACGGAGCAACGCCGCGUGAGUGAUGAAGGCUUUCGGGUCGUAAAACUCUGUUGUUAGGGAAGAACAAGUGCUAGUUGAAUAAGCUGGCACCUUGACGGUACCUAACCAGAAAGCCACGGCUAACUACGUGCCAGCCGCCGCAGUAA
RNAcentral lists this ribosomal RNA (515 nucleotides) under uncultured bacterium. Its description in RNAcentral is "partial 16S ribosomal RNA". It matches the Rfam family "Bacterial small subunit ribosomal RNA", at positions 28 to 523 of the family's 1533-position model. The record is from RNAcentral.